CUACGAGUUAUUUUAGAAAAAAAAAAAAGCAGACUAAAGUAGCAAAGGCAUCUGUCUAAAUUGGCUGUAAUGAGACCAAAGAACCCUUCUAAAGCAGAUACAAAAACAAAAGCAAGGACUGGAGUGUGAAGGAGAAGGUUUCUCUGGGAAAACAUUUGAAAACCUUUAUUUCCAAGCCUACCAAUCAAUAAAUAUUAUCCCCCAUUGUGAAUGAACCCCAUAUGAGGCUCUCUGCAGGUGGAUACUAAAGAAACCCCAGGCAUCAGACAUAUUCUCAGAGAACAUGAAAUGUGGUAGGAGGUAUAGGCCUCAUGAGAAUAAACUAAAUCAGGAUAUUUACACAGAUCCAUCAAGUCCAGUACAGACUGAAGUAUGCAGCUGCUGUCCACCCAAAGUAGCUCAAAUUUUACGUGCUCAAAAGUAGAACUCACCUGCUCUUUCUUUUGUAGUUCCUAUUUCAGUUGGAGGCAUCCAGUUGCUUGUGCCAGAAACCUGGUUACCAUUCUUGACUCCUUCUUCUCUAUCAUUAUUUGAAUGACCAAAUACUAUCGGCUUUAACCCAAAUGUUUUUCAAAUCUGCCUCUAGGGGAGGCAGCCUUUGUAAACAGCAGUGUAGGCUAACAUUAUUCCAGCUUAGAUAUCUAUGGGGAGGAAUCUCUUUAGACUCAAAUUUCUUUUCUAAGUGAGUGAAAUACAAUGACUGUCAGACCUAACAAAAUCAGGAACUUGUCUGCACCCUUCCAUCUCUGGGAAAUUGACAUGGACUCCUAAAGAUUGCUGUACCUGUCAAACCAAAUGGCAGAUAGAAAAGAUGGGGCCUGUUGGGGGGUAGAGGCAAGGGGAGGGAGAACAUUAGGACAAAUACCUAAUGCAUGCGGGGCUUAAAACCUAGAUGAUGGGUUGAUAGGUGCAGCAAACCACCAGUCACAUGUAUACCUAUGUAACAAGCCUGCAUGUUCUGCACAUGCAUCCCAGAACUUAAAAUAAAAUAAAAUAAAAUAAAAUAAAAUAAAAUAAAAUAAAAUAAAAUAAAAGGUGGUUGAGGACCCAAAGAACCCUACAUAAUGUCAACAGAAACACAUUUUAUUGGACAUUCUUAAGUCUUCCUAUGACUUGGUACUGCAUGUGCUAAUCUUGGGAAAGUCAGCUGCCAGAACUUUGGGAAGCAGAAAAUUGGAUACAUGAGCUUGAUUAUUCAAAUAAAUGAUUUGAUACCUAAAUUAUCUGGAUAAUUGCCUCCUUAUGGUCUAGGACAACCUGACCCCCCAUACUCCUAGAGCCACAGGAAAUCUGAGAGUCAUAAUUGCCUGUGGGAAACUAAAUAGAGUGUCUGAGGGGGUGUCUGCAGAGUAGGAAAUGAAAACCGACUGUUCAAAGUGGCAAAUGAGUAACGUGUUCAUUGUGACAGGUAGAAAAUCAGCCCAGGCUGGGAGUAAGUCGGGGGAGUAAAUUUUGGUUGGUGUCUGACAAUUUCCUUAUCCUGUCUAUUUUUUAAACUUUGGUUGAUUCAUUCCCAAGUAACCCUCAUCCAGUGUUAGUUUCUUGUUUAUUCUAUGCUCACAUAGCACCAGGGGACUGUCUGUACCACAUAUUUGCACUUAUUUAUAUGCUGCUUUGUAAAUGUUUUUAAGCCCUUUUUCUAUAUGUGUGCCAUGUUUUCUGAAGUGGAUUUAUGUUCUCUGAUGUAGUCUCCUCAAUAGUCAUUUCCCACUUUCCUCUCAUCUGCAUUUUACAGCUCUGUUCGUUUGAUGUUGUCUCAUAAAGACCUCCAUGUAACUUCUUAAUACCUUUAUCUACACUUCGCCCUCCUUCUGCUGUUGAGUAAAAGUAUGAAAGUGAUGCUGCAUGUGCAGUCAAGAUAUAGUACACCUGCUAUUAGGUUUCCGCUUUACAAUGAUCUGCUUUAAGACAACAACUUGAGCAACUCUGCAUCUAAAAGCCUGGAUUCCUUGUGCAUACUUUGUGUCAUUGUCCAUGAUGCACAACAAGCUGAGCCCCUUCCUGUUCCCACAUAACAACAUGGACUUUGCCCUACUCUGCUUGGAAACCCCUUUCCCCUUCUGCACUUGGGAAGUCAGCAAGAAACUCAUGCUUCAAACCCUAGCUCAGAGGGUUGAGAACCUAGCUCCUCUCCCAGGCAAAUAUUCACUCAUCUCAUCUGCUCCCAGAAUGCUUUUUACAAACAUUUUCUAAGGCCCAUGCCCAUUUUAUAAUUUUGUUUUGUUUUCACAUCGGUCUUCACCAAAAUGCAUACUUCAAGACCACAGCUUAUUCAUUUUUAUAACCAUAUUACCAAAUACUGCAGCUGUCACACAAUGGAUACUCAUAAAAUAUUGGAGAAUAAAUAUUCAGGGAAUAAGUUCUUGUGUAGAAUGUUGAUAGUUCUCUGCUCUAUAUUCCCAUCCCUCGAAGGAGCCUGCCAGGAUGAAUUCUUCCAGCUUCAUUCUUCAUAUGCCUUCUCUGCCUCAAGAACCAGUGUCCUGCUGGUCCCAGUCCAUCCCUGCUGUCAUCCCAACUCUUCCAUUAAUUGGCAGAGGCAGAAUGGGGCCCUGAGGUGGUUUAAAUAAACCAUUUGUUCAUUUAUCAGAUAUUUAUUCCAGUAUUUGUCUCAAUAUUUAUUUCAUGUCUACCCUGUGCCAGGUGCAGUUUGUUUUACGUGCUGUUCAUAUACCAGUUAACAAGAUAGUCAAAGUCCCCAUCCUCCUGAUGCUUAUAUUUUAAUGAUUUAGUUUGGAAAGUGAGCUGAUGGACAGAUUAAAAAUGGAAAACAAAGCUUUUUGCCUACAUUGUCUGAUCAAUUCAAUUCAAAGCUAUAUAAAUCUUCAUUUUUCCACUUGAGUUUGGUAAUUGAGUCCUAUCUGCAUGUGUCUUUCUGUAGUCAUACUUCCCAGAAAAAAAAAACAACAUAUACCAUGGCCACACUUGCCCCUAGCACCUAUGCCAUGCUAUAGGUAGACACAUACACCUAUACAUAUAUACACAUAUACACAGCUAUACAAUGUAUACACUCACUGAUCAUCCAUUCACCCAAAUAUCAAACCUCCCAAGGUAUAAGGUAUGCCACCUUCCCCUCCACUAAUACAUAUCCAUUCUGAUGCAUUUCUU
Molecule: long non-coding RNA, 3105 nt
Filed under: Homo sapiens (human)
Lineage: Eukaryota; Metazoa; Chordata; Mammalia; Primates; Hominidae
Description: HSALNT0189437
Source: RNAcentral